CGCGCCAAACGUCCCUCCCUUUUAUCCCCGAAUCACUCCCCCUUUUUAUUUUUAUUUUGGCUUUCAUCUUUACCAAUUCGUUCAACCCUUCGGCUCGUGCUUUUGAGUUACAAGGUUCAAAUGAGCGACAACCUUAUCUUUUAGUAGUGCGGCUAUGGCUUAAAAUUGUUCUAAACAAAGAUAGUGUGAUUCAUUCACAUUAGUACUUAUAGCUCCAUUCCAAUUCUAAUCAAUGGUCUCAUGUCUUAUUCGAUGUAGAUUUUGGCAUAUGCUUUGGCUAUAUUUUUUGGGUUGUAAUGCUCCUAAAGAAUAGGCUAUUUCUGGCUUUGCGGAUGCAAGUCUCUCUUUGAUUGUGUUACUUUGAUUCCCACAUCUCACUGUAAGUUAGUUUCUGCUUUGUCUAUAUUCGUUUCUUUAGCAUCUAUAUAUGUUUGAAAAUUGACUUAAUAUAUUUCAAUCGUACUGAUUUUAUCCUCACUAGUGAUGGAAACGCAGAGUGAAAAUAUUUACACUUAGUGAUGUGAGUAUUACUAUCGUUCAUCUUGAGGAAGAUGUUGUAUCUGUAUCUCUGGUUUCAAUAGACAUUUCGGGUUCUAAGUGAUUGGAUAUUUUGUGAGAUUAGGUGUUAUUUGUUCUCUAAAAAAAUUCGGUAAAAUCUAAUAAUUAUUGUGGUUUUAACUAGAAGCUUAAGAGAAUUAGUUGCCUUGUUAAAAUUAAAACUAUAGUGACCUUUCUGUUCCUUAGUUUAUUGAUAAAUCUUAGUGUCUUGCACUAAAGAAGUUUGAGGUUCAAGAAGUAAAUCAUUUUUAGAGAAAAACAAUUGUAUUAUAAAGCUAGCACUAAGGAAGUGAUGUAGUAUUUUUUUUGGUCAAAGUGCUAUAGUAAUUACAAGUGAGUAAAACACUAGAAGAAAAAACUCUUUCCAAUAUUACAGGGAUUUCAAGAAUAAAUUAUAAAUUUUUGUGUCGUGCAUCCGUAAAGCCUUAUUUGUACUACCAAUUAUCAUUCAUUCACUACUUUUUUAUAAGCUGCUAGUGCCGAUUAGUAGUUCCACUUGUAUAUUUGUGUAUAAUUGCUCUUGAAUUAUCUGUACUACUAAUUAUAUUUGCCUCCUUUUUUCCGUGGAUAGCGCAAGUGCGGAGAGAAAAACUCUUGCUAAUGCAGUGAAACGUGAGUUGUAGAAAAAUAGGAUGGACAUGCUUAAAUCCUCAUUGCUGGAAAUAUGGUUCAUGCAGUACAACAAGUUGUUGGAAGAAGAUUUAUUUUUGGAAUUAUUAGAUUAGAAUUUAAUAACCUUGGUAUAUGAUGCUUUUGUUCUUUUUGCAAGUAAAAGCAUACAUUUUAGAAGAUUUAGUUAUAGUGAGUACAUACUUGUGUAUCAAUUUUAUGUAUUGACAUUUAUAUACAUAUAAAAUUUAUUAUUUUAUAUAUACAUUUGUGAAA
Nicotiana tabacum (common tobacco) is the source of this 1443-nucleotide long non-coding RNA. RefSeq lists it as uncharacterized. NCBI's taxonomy places the organism in Eukaryota, Viridiplantae, Streptophyta, Magnoliopsida, Solanales, Solanaceae. The record is from RefSeq and is a predicted model, not a curated record.